Molecule: unclassified non-coding RNA, 307 nt
Filed under: plant metagenome
Description: partial contains 5.8S ribosomal RNA, internal transcribed spacer 2, and large subunit ribosomal RNA
Rfam family: 5.8S ribosomal RNA (bases 1-105)
Source: RNAcentral
GAAAUGCGAUAAGUAAUGUGAAUUGCAGAAUUCAGUGAAUCAUCGAAUCUUUGAACGCACAUUGCGCCCGCCAGCACUCUGGCGGGCAUGCCUGUUCGAGCGUCAUUUCAACCCUCAGAACCCCUUGCGGGAUCUGGCGUUGGGGAUUGGCAUCCAGCCAGCCCCGAAAUCUAGUGGCGGUCCCUCCACGACCUCCCCUGUGCAGUAGCGAUACCUCGCAGCGGGACAGCGGUCUGACCACGCCGUAAAACCCCCAACUUCUCAAGGUUGACCUCGAAUCAGGUAGGAAUGCCCGCUGAACUUAAGC